UACGGGGGGGGCAAGCGUUGUUCGGAAUUACUGGGCGUAAAGGGCGCGUAGGCGGCCUGCUAAGUCGGACGUGAAAUCCCUCGGCUCAACCGGGGAACUGCGUCCGAUACUGGAUGGCUUGAAUCCGGGAGAGGGAUGCGGAAUUCCAGGUGUAGCGGUGAAAUGCGUAGAUAUCUGGAGGAACACCGGUGGCGAAGGCGGCAUCCUGGACCGGCAUUGACGCUGAGGAGCGAAAGCCAGGGGAGCAAACGGG
Molecule: ribosomal RNA, 253 nt
Filed under: uncultured bacterium
Lineage: Bacteria
Description: partial 16S ribosomal RNA
Rfam family: Bacterial small subunit ribosomal RNA
Source: RNAcentral